Molecule: ribosomal RNA, 253 nt
Filed under: uncultured bacterium
Lineage: Bacteria
Description: partial 16S ribosomal RNA
Rfam family: Bacterial small subunit ribosomal RNA
Source: RNAcentral
UACGUAGGAGGCGAGCGUUGUCCGGAAUCACUGGGCGUAAAGGGCGCGUAGGCGGCUCAUGAAGGCUGUGGUGAAAGUCCGGGGCUCAACCUCGGAUCGGCCGUGGCGACUCGUGGGCUGGAGCACUGUAGAGGCGGGUGGAAUUCCGGGUGUAGCGGUGGAAUGCGUAGAGAUCCGGAAGAACACCAGUGGCGAAGGCGGCCCGCUGGGCAGUGGCUGACGCUGAAGCGCGACAGCGUGGGGAGCAAACAGG